RNAcentral lists this ribosomal RNA (498 nucleotides) under uncultured Glomeromycotina. Its description in RNAcentral is "partial small subunit ribosomal RNA". It matches the Rfam family "Eukaryotic small subunit ribosomal RNA", at positions 591 to 1092 of the family's 1831-position model. Lineage: Eukaryota; Fungi; Glomeromycota. The record is from RNAcentral.
CCAAUAGCGUAUAUUAAAGUUGUUGCAGUUAAAAAGCUCGUAGUUGAAUUUCGGGAUCAAUUUGUCGGUCGUGCCUCGGUACGCACUGGCUUAUUGGUUUCUCCUUUCUGAAGAACCAUGAUGUCAUUUAUUUGGUGUCGUGGGGAAUCAGGACUGUUACUUUGAAAAAAUUAGAGUGUUUAAAGCAGGCUCACGCUUGAAUACAUUAGCAUGGAAUAAUGAAAUAGGACGUUUGAUUCUAUUUUGUUGGUUUCUAGGAUCGACGUAAUGAUUAAUAGGGAUAGUUGGGGGCAUUAGUAUUCAAUUGUCAGAGGUGAAAUUCUUGGAUUUAUUGAAGACUAACUACUGCGAAAGCAUUUGCCAAGGAUGUUUUCAUUAAUCAAGAACGAAAGUUAGGGGAUCGAAGACGAUCAGAUACCGUCGUAGUCUUAACCAUAAACUAUGCCGACUAGGGGUCGGAUGAUGUUAAUUUUUUAAUGACUCAUUCGGCGCCUUACG